Long non-coding RNA from Tympanuchus pallidicinctus (lesser prairie-chicken), 497 nucleotides. RefSeq lists it as uncharacterized. Lineage: Eukaryota; Metazoa; Chordata; Aves; Galliformes; Phasianidae. The record is from RefSeq and is a predicted model, not a curated record. The transcript has 3 exons.
UCUUGAGAUCGCUCCUUGUGGAGUUUACUGCGAGCCUAUGACACCGCCUAACCUCUGUAUACCUACUGAUUGUACAACACUAAAACUGGGGGAGUUGGCUGUGGGGGCUGCCAAUGCUCAGAGAGCAGCUGUGCAUCGGUCCAUGGGUGAGUGAUUGAACAGCUGAAUGGUGUCGAGCUGCCUUUUGAGUUAAACUACAACACUUACCAAGUCCAAAUCUAUAUCCAUCAGAGAAUCGGGUGCUGGCAUUCCAGAAAACACAAGCGCUGUCCACGUGCUGGAGGAAGAACUCUGCUGUUUUCUCUGGGAAAGAAAUAGAGCAGGAAAUAAAAUUCCUACAGAAGGAACUAUCAUGCACUGUGACAUACAGAGCCUCAUACAGUGAACAGACAAAACUGCAGAACUUUCACAAUAACACUGUUUGAAGUAUCUAAACAGCCUGGGUUAGAAUGUGUUCAUAUACACAUUCCCAGUAUUCUUAUCAAGUAGACAGAGCU